RNAcentral lists this microRNA precursor (138 nucleotides) under Gossypium hirsutum (cotton). RNAcentral describes it as "MIR7502 microRNA precursor family". It matches the Rfam family "MIR7502 microRNA precursor family". Lineage: Eukaryota; Viridiplantae; Streptophyta; Magnoliopsida; Malvales; Malvaceae. The record is from Rfam by way of RNAcentral.
UAUUAAAAGUUUCAUCAAUUUAUACUAUUAAAAAUUGACCUGGUUAGCGGUAUAACCAAAUUAAUACAUGACAUGCCACGUUUACCAUAUGUUGUAUAGGAAUCGGUUUUAAAAUAAAAAUAGAUAAAAAUUUUAACA